GGCCUGCUAGCUCAGUCGUUUAGAGCGUCGUGCUAAUAACGCGAAGGUCGUAGGUUCGAUCCCUGCGCAGGCCA
RNAcentral lists this transfer RNA (74 nucleotides) under Rhipicephalus microplus (southern cattle tick). RNAcentral describes it as "tRNA-Ile". It matches the Rfam family "tRNA". Rfam says of the family: Transfer RNA (tRNA) molecules are approximately 80 nucleotides in length. RNAcentral also lists the same sequence under 2 other names. The record is from Rfam by way of RNAcentral. Lineage: Eukaryota; Metazoa; Arthropoda; Arachnida; Ixodida; Ixodidae.